ACGUAGGGAGCAAGCGUUGUCCGGAUUUACUGGGUGUAAAGGGUGCGUAGGCGGAACUGCAAGUCAGUGGUGAAAUCUGAGGGCUCAACCCUCAAACUGCCAUUGAAACUGUGGUUCUUGAGUGAAGUAGAGGUAGGCGGAAUUCCCGGUGUAGCGGUGGAAUGCGUAGAGAUCGGGAGGAACACCAGUGGCGAAGGCGGCCUACUGGGCUUUAACUGACGCUGAGGCACGAAAGCAUGGGUAGCAAACAG
Molecule: ribosomal RNA, 251 nt
Filed under: uncultured bacterium
Lineage: Bacteria
Description: partial 16S ribosomal RNA
Rfam family: Bacterial small subunit ribosomal RNA
Source: RNAcentral